Hibiscus syriacus is the source of this 407-nucleotide long non-coding RNA. RefSeq lists it as uncharacterized. The record is from RefSeq and is a predicted model, not a curated record. Lineage: Eukaryota; Viridiplantae; Streptophyta; Magnoliopsida; Malvales; Malvaceae. The transcript has 3 exons.
CUAAAGCCAGUGCAUUAAAAAUAACCAAAUCCCGAAGAUAAGAUGGAGUCAGUUGGCAAUAGAAUAGGAGGGAAAAUCAAAGUCAAAAAAGCAAAGGAAGGCUCAAACGAACCCUACAUAUACACCCCCACAAAGGCACGAAACUGAAGAAACAACAAACAAAGAGGGGUGUGGCAGUGCGGCCUUCAGGAAAUACUAUUUUCCGGCGACUGUUUGAUCCUCUCCCGCUCCUGAUGCUGUUCUUCCCUGGAUGGCUUAAUCAGUGUUCCGGAGCAUUGCGGCGAUUUAUAAUUGGAGGAGCGAGGGGCUGAUUUACAGGUUUGAUGGAUUCAAGAAAUAUAUAGAUAAAUGUCAAUCUGGUAUCUAUCGGGUGUAUGCAAUUGAAUCCUACACCACACAAAUUUGAA